AGAGAAUACUUUCCAGACCUCCACACAUAUAAGUGAAAUCAUGGAAAGUGGGGAGCACCCACUAAAUGCCUAUUUCCCCCUGCUCUCCAAUCCAGACCAAAAUAUCUAAAGUUGAAGCUCUGGGGGCAGAUGGAGGAUGUGCAGAAAAGCAGCUGUCAGGUGGGGAGGCUGAGCAGCCUAAACAAAGCCCAGCUGUGCCUCCAGUCCCUGCAGGGCAUCCUCAGCUUUCAGUUGACAUCCUCUUCAGGCUCCAGGGAGGGUCUUCUCACAAGCCACGAGAACUCUCCACCUCUCUCCUGCCAUUUCCUGAUUGAUUAGUGAUAAACAAAGAACUGGAAAGCCUUUAACUGCAAAACUUUUUGAAGCUUGAAUUUUGCAAGUACGGGACAUUGUGCUUAUGGACAAACCACCUCAUGAAAGGAACAUUGAUCUGGAAAAAAAGGACUCGCGUCUUCUUCUGUACAACAUGGUAUCCUUUUAUUGACUUUGUUAAGACAAUUGAACAUGGUUUUCACCCUCCAUUGACACACAGAACCCUGUGAAGGACCUUCAUUUGACUGCCUACUUUCGAAUGUUUUAAGACCACAACCAUCAACUGAUUUCUUUCUUUCCUGAACAACUGUUAAGUUCUGUAUUCCAUUUGUGGGUAUGUUUUUGUCAACUGAAAUUAAUAAUCAAUAAAAAUAUGUACAUAUUUGCAGGUGGAACA
Long non-coding RNA from Podarcis raffonei (Aeolian wall lizard), 709 nucleotides. RefSeq lists it as uncharacterized. The transcript has 2 exons. NCBI's taxonomy places the organism in Eukaryota, Metazoa, Chordata, Lepidosauria, Squamata, Lacertidae. The record is from RefSeq and is a predicted model, not a curated record.